GCGAUGGCGCCCGUUAAAAGCGAAGUAUGGAAAUUUUUUAAUAAAAUAAGCAAUAACUACGUUAAAUGUCAACUUUGCUGCAAAAAUUUAAAAUUUUCUAAUAACACAUCAAAUAUGUUGCAGCAUUUAAAAUUAAAGCAUGUAACUGUAGCCUGCAAAUUGGUGACUCUGCAAUCUAGGAGUAAAAACAAUGUUUCCCUAAGUGAUGAUGACACUGACACCAUGAUUGAUAUGCCGAGUUGCAGCAGCAAACCAAUUAAUGAAAGCCCUUUGAGUGAGGGGCCAAGCUUCAGCAGCAAUUUACCGAAUGAAAGCAGCAUGAGAGAGCUACCCAGCUCUAACAGUAAAAAUCGUCAACCCUCAUUUCUAAAGUCUUCAAAAAUAUUGAAAUCUUUUCGCUUCAUGGCUCAAACAACCAAAAGCUGUAGCAUGAAAUAGUGGAAAUGGUUAUCAAGGAUAAUCUACCUUUUGACUUUGUUGAAGGUAAAGACUUCUUAAGUUUCAUGAAACAACAUUUUCCUCAUUAUAAAGUCCCAACAAGAAAUACCAUCAAGGCUCACAUUGAAAAAAUGUACGAUGAAGAAAAGAAAAUGUGUAGCGAUGCUAAAAACUUUUUCAUAUUUGAGUUUAACGACAGAUAUCUGGACUGAAGUAGAAGUGAAUAGCAUGCUUGGUGUGACCAUUCAUGGUGUAAAUGGGACGAAGCAAUUUAAUGGAACAAUUGGCGUUUAUAAAUAAACGGAAGCACAUACUGCAUCACAUAUUUCCGAAGUUCUCAUUGCUGCUUUGAAAGACUUUUCUAUUGACGGAAAAUAAGUAAUGGCUGUAGUGACCGACAAUGGUGCAAACAUCGCAAAAGCAGUACAUGAUUCAUUUGGCAAAAAACGCCAUAUUCCUUGUUUUGCAUACACCCUCAAUAUGUGAAAACUCACUGAACAGUCCUGAAGUAAAUGCAGUUGUUGUAAAAUGCAAAGAAAUAGUUAAGUGGCUAAAAAGAAGUGUUAAAGCUAAUGAUGAUCUUCGAAAUGUGCAAGCUGCUGCCGGAGUAGCUGAAAGCAAAAUGCUAAAGCCAAUUUUGGACGUGAAAACACAUUGGAGUUCGACCUACUACAUGCUUGAACGGUUCAUUAAACUAUGUUCAUAUAUUAACCAAAUACUGACAUCGAACAUUCCUUUUUGCUAGCUGCAUCAACAUUACUCGACCCGAGAUUUAAAAUAAUUCAUUUCAAAGACCUAUUAGGGUUGUCUCCAGUUAUAAAGUUUUUACGUACUGAAAUAACAGUUGCAGAUGAUACUAUGGAAACGGGCAGCGAGUCGUCAGUGGAAUCGGUAGAGAAUGAGUUUGACCUCUGGGCUCCUCACAAAACUCUAGUGCACAAAAGAAAGAGGAAGGACAACGAUUUUACAUCUCCACAAGAUGAAUUGAUCUUUUAUUUGAAUUGUCAGGUAUUAGAACUAAGUCGAAACACUAUUGAUGCCCAAAGCUGUGCGGACUUUCAAAAAAGUAUUGUCAUAUACUUGGUUCCUCAGUACCAGCUGAGCGGCUUUUCUCAAAAGCGGGUGCAACUGCGACCGAAAAACGCAAUCGUUUGACAACAAAACGUUUAUCGAAAUUGCUUUUUCUUCAAACUUGGUUGAACAGAGAAUAAAUUUUCUUGACUUCAAUGAAUAUAUUUUCAUUUAUGCUAAGACAAAUGAAUUUUUAAUAUGAUAUUUUUUGAUUUUAUUUCCGUUUUUGUUUUUGUGUAUAUACCAACAUAAUUUGAAUGUCAGAAAUAAGAACAUAGUCUCCUAUAUUUUAUUGGUUUUAUUUUUACGCAAAUUUGCAAAACGUAGUCUUUCCAGCAAGAAGCAAUUCUUUUACUUUAAGAUUGCUGUACAUAUUUUGAAAAAUUUAAUGUGAUUGUGCUACUUAACUUCAAAUAUAGGCCAUUUUCUCUUUUAGGAUAUGUCUGGGACUCUGUGAUUGAGCAUUAUAAUACAAGAUUCGGCGCUGAAACUUAGUGGUGGUCUUUAUGCAAUUUAGUAUUAUUUAAAAAUUUAAAAAUUAAUAAUUGUAAUUAUUGUUUUAUAUCUUGCAAUAAAUCAUUUGAUUAUUUAAUCGAUAAAAAAAAAUUUGCCAUCCCUAGCAAUAUGUUGAAGGACUGAUGCGAACGACAUUGUGUCGUUAGAAGAAAAUCAGAGCCCUACCAGCCUUUCUUAAAAACUAUCGUAAAUAUAUAUGUAUAUCUUUGUAUCUUUAGAAUUGUUAUUAUUUUAAAUCGACAAAAGCUAUGUUGCCACGUUCGUCACUUUUUUAUGGGUUUCGUAUGUUUGCGAAGUUGUUUUGUGGCUAAAAUAUUUACACGUGUGCGCAUAUGUAUACAAGUAUACUUGUAUGUAUGUAGUUAGGUAGUUUGGUGUAUGCAUUAUUUGUUCGGCAAUGUCAAGUACCUAAAUUAAAUAGAAUGCAUUAAAACAACCUUGAGUUGGAACACUUGAAAUGCACUAUCACUACAACAAACAAUCCUAAACAAACAAGUAUCAAAACAACAUUGAUUUUGAAUACGAUAACAACCUUAUCUUAAAACAAAACAAAUAUAUCUAAGCAAACAAUAUACUUGUAUAUGUAUACAAACCUAAACAAAUAAUAGAAUCUGUAUCUAAAGAAACUAUCAACUAGUAAAAAGUAAACAUUCUAGUUAGUAUAAAUAGAAAUAAGAAACAUGUAAUAAGAGUCUUAAGAUUAUAAAUAAAGAGUACACAUUUCGGUGCAGCUCAAAAUAUAUUCUUUUGACUAAUUUUUACUUCUGGUAAAAAUUAAUUCGCGCACAUUUUAUUACUGAUAACUGAUAAUAACGUUAUUUGAAUGUGUGAAGGUGCUUUUUUAUCGAAAGCCAAUAUUGACAGUAUGCACGAUUCAUACUGUACACUCAAUACUCUUAAUUUGGGACCACCCCUUGUCUAUACUAUUCUGAUAUGUAUGUAGAACCUGCGCCUACGUAUUACAUUCUUAACUCCGUCAUUUUCGAGACUAUCGUUCAGCAUUACUUUACAAUGUUAGCUUUUUCCUCUUUUAUCCUUACUCUCUUAUUAUAGCUUUGGUUUCACUCUUUCAAUAAAAAAUUUUGCGGUUAGCCCCUUUACGUUGAACCACAUCUGCUCGGAUCAUCAGUUCUAAUACAGUUGUCAUAAAGCCUUUCCACUACCAUUACCAUAAAACGAACACGUCACUCCGUCGCAAUGACCAUUCUUAUGGAAAUACUCUCUAUAGCAUCCAUGUACCGUUCGAAAUUGCGUCGUCUAGAAAUCCGUGUUUCGAAACAUUUUAAUGAGUUUUCAUUAGUGUUUUGAGCUUAAACACCGCGAUAACGGAAAUCACUGGCUACUGGGCCUUAGCCUGAACGGCGUAUUCUCUAUUUUGUGUACUUUAUGCGUUAACACAAAUUCCUACAGAGAUGCCGAAUAAAACGCAAUAUAUCGCUUGGAUUUGGACCACCUAUUUUGGCCAUAAUUUGCGGCAAGGCCAAAAUUACCAGUGCAGUCGGUGUUUUAAUAGUGUGCAUGUCAACGUUCAGAGCAAUGGUACGGCUCGGGUUUCUGUCCCGCUAGAUGGAAUUUAGACGAAUCUGACCAGUUUUUAUUUUUCUGUGCUGUAGCUGCACAAAUAAUACAUAAAUAUGUUUUGCAACAUUUGCCACAGGAGUUUCAUUUGCAUAUCGUAUUAUUUUCGUUUCUUUCUACAGAUGGAAACGUAAUAUUCCGUCAAUGAGAAUAUUCCAUAACAGUGGUUCCAACACGAAUCCUUGUAGCACUCUACCAGUUACAGUGUGACUUUUGACCCCUUAAUCCCUUUGAUAUAAUAGUAGAAUAUCCCACAGAUAGCUCUUAAAUAUCCGUAGUAAAUACACCGGGGAUUUUCAUUUUUUUAAAGCGCGUAUUAUGUGGGGCAAAUGCGCCGAGCUAAGUGCAUUUUCACAUCAAAAGUGAUGAUUGCGGAGUAUUUUUUAAUGGCUUGCAUCCACCUUGUACCUUCAAAAGCUCUCUCUGCAAGUCCAGUCAGCUUUUUUAUUUCGUCGAUGGUAGAGC
Bactrocera dorsalis (oriental fruit fly) is the source of this 4068-nucleotide long non-coding RNA. RefSeq lists it as uncharacterized. Lineage: Eukaryota; Metazoa; Arthropoda; Insecta; Diptera; Tephritidae. The record is from RefSeq and is a predicted model, not a curated record. The transcript has 4 exons.